UACGUAGGGUGCGAGCGUUAAUCGGAAUUACUGGGCGUAAAGUGUGCGCAGGCGGCCGAGCAUGUCGAGUGUGAAAGCCCCGGGCUUAACCUGGGAACUGCGCUCGAAACUACUUGGCUGGAGUGUGGCAGAGGAAGGUGGAAUUCCGGGUGGAGUGGUGAAAUGCGUAGAGAUCCGGAGGAACACCAGAGGCGAAGGCGGCCUACUGGGCCAGUACUGACGCUGAGACGCGAAAGCCAGGGGAGCGAACGGG
This 253-nucleotide ribosomal RNA is filed under the name uncultured bacterium. Its description in RNAcentral is "partial 16S ribosomal RNA". It matches the Rfam family "Bacterial small subunit ribosomal RNA", at positions 524 to 776 of the family's 1533-position model. The record is from RNAcentral.